UACGGAGGGGGCUAGCGUUGUUCGGAUUUACUGGGCGUAAAGGGUGCGUAGGUGGCGGGGUAAGUCUGGUGUGAAAUCUCCGAGCUCAACUCGGAAAAGCAUUGGAAACUAUCCCGCUAGAGGGUCGGAGGGGAGACUGGAAUUCUCGGUGUAGCAGUGAAAUGCGUAGAUAUCGAGAGGAACACCAGUGGCGAAGGCGAGUCUCUGGACGACUCCUGACACUGAGGCACGAAAGCUAGGGGAGCAAACAGG
Molecule: ribosomal RNA, 252 nt
Filed under: uncultured bacterium
Lineage: Bacteria
Description: partial 16S ribosomal RNA
Rfam family: Bacterial small subunit ribosomal RNA
Source: RNAcentral